This 474-nucleotide small RNA is filed under the name Histoplasma capsulatum. Its description in RNAcentral is "hypothetical RNA". The record is from RNAcentral. RNAcentral also lists the same sequence under 1 other name. Lineage: Eukaryota; Fungi; Ascomycota; Eurotiomycetes; Onygenales; Ajellomycetaceae.
AUGGAAGAACAUAUAUAUAUAUAUUUAUAUUCAAGCAGCCAGCCCCCGAAAAUCUCCCGCGAGUGAUAGGGCGCAGAGAGUGGAACAGAGGCCAAAGCAUGGCCGGUUUCAAUUCAAGAAGCAAAAUUCAAACCAUCGACAAUAUAUGAUGAGCUGCAGCUGUCCUCUCCUCCAGAGACAGCUUCUUGAUAUGAACGACGCUCUCAUGCAGGGAGGUCUCCGGAUUGCAGGCAAGGCAGUUUGAAAUAUCCCGAAAAGAACAGAAACCAUCCCGGCGGCUCCGUAAUCUAAUUUUCUUCUGCAAGGGACACUUCUAAGGGCCAGCUGGAGCUUGACAUUUGCUUGUCAUAUGGAAUCGGAUGGCGACGAUUACAUCGAUCGCCUUGCACUAUUAUUGUUAUUGUUGUUACUUUCUUGCAUAUAUCUCAAGGUAACCACUUUCUUCAGCCGACGUCUAUGCCAGUUGCUUCAAAC